This 1359-nucleotide ribosomal RNA is filed under the name uncultured bacterium. RNAcentral's name for it is "bacterial SSU rRNA". It matches the Rfam family "Bacterial small subunit ribosomal RNA", at positions 28 to 1381 of the family's 1533-position model. The record is from RNAcentral.
GAUGAACGCUAGCUACAGGCUUAACACAUGCAAGUCGAGGGGCAGCAUUUCAGUUUGCUUGCAAACUGGAGAUGGCGACCGGCGCACGGGUGAGUAACACGUAUCCAACCUGCCGAUAACUCGGGGAUAGCCUUUCGAAAGAAAGAUUAAUACCCGAUGGUAUAAUCAGACCGCAUGGUCUUGUUAUUAAAGAAUUUCGGUUAUCGAUGGGGAUGCGUUCCAUUAGGCAGUUGGUGAGGUAACGGCUCACCAAACCUUCGAUGGAUAGGGGUUCUGAGAGGAAGGUCCCCCACAUUGGAACUGAGACACGGUCCAAACUCCUACGGGAGGCAGCAGUGAGGAAUAUUGGUCAAUGGGCGCAGGCCUGAACCAGCCAAGUAGCGUGAAGGAUGACUGCCCUAUGGGUUGUAAACUUCUUUUAUAUGGGAAUAAAGUUUUCCACGUGUGGAAUUUUGUAUGUACCAUAUGAAUAAGGAUCGGCUAACUCCGUGCCAGCAGCCGCGGUAAUACGGAGGAUCCGAGCGUUACCCGGAUUUAUUGGGUUUAAAGGGAGCGUAGGUGGACAGUUAAGUCAGUUGUGAAAGUUUGCGGCUCAACCGUAAAAUUGCAGUUGAUACUGGCUGUCUUGAGUACAGUAGAGGUGGGCGGAAUUCGUGGUGUAGCGGUGAAAUGCUUAGAAAUCACGAAGAACUCCGAUUGCGAGGGCAGCUCACUGGACUGCAACUGACACUGAUGCUCGAAAGUGUGGGUAUCAAACAGGAUUAGAUACCCUGGUAGUCCACACAGUAAACGAUGAAUACUCGCUGUUUGCGAUAUACAGUAAGCGGCCAAGCGAAAGCAUUAAGUAUUCCACCUGGGGAGUACGCCGGCAACGGUGAAACUCAAAGGAAUUGACGGGGGCCCGCACAAGCGGAGGAACAUGUGGUUUAAUUCGAUGAUACGCGAGGAACCUUACCCGGGCUUAAAUUGCAUUUGAAUAUAUUGGAAACAGUAUAGCCGUAAGGCAAAUGUGAAGGUGCUGCAUGGUUGUCGUCAGCUCGUGCCGUGAGGUGUCGGCUUAAGUGCCAUAACGAGCGCAACCCUUAUCUUUAGUUACUAACAGGUCAUGCUGAGGACUCUAGAGAGACUGCCGUCGUAAGAUGUGAGGAAGGUGGGGAUGACGUCAAAUCAGCACGGCCCUUACGUCCGGGGCUACACACGUGUUACAAUGGGGGGUACAGAAGGCAGCUACCUGGUGACAGGAUGCUAAUCCCAAAAGCCUCUCUCAGUUCGGAUCGAAGUCUGCAACCCGACUUCGUGAAGCUGGAUUCGCUAGUAAUCGCGCAUCAGCCAUGGCGCGGUGAAUACGUUCCCGGGCCU